This 536-nucleotide ribosomal RNA is filed under the name Salmonella enterica subsp. enterica serovar Enteritidis. Its description in RNAcentral is "partial 23S ribosomal RNA". It matches the Rfam family "Bacterial large subunit ribosomal RNA", at positions 696 to 1230 of the family's 2925-position model. The record is from RNAcentral. Lineage: Bacteria; Pseudomonadati; Pseudomonadota; Gammaproteobacteria; Enterobacterales; Enterobacteriaceae.
UAAGUUGCAGGGUAUAGACCCGAAACCCGGUGAUCUAGCCAUGGGCAGGUUGAAGGUUGGGUAACACUAACUGGAGGACCGAACCGACUAAUGUUGAAAAAUUAGCGGAUGACCUGUGGCUGGGGGUGAAAGGCCAAUCAAACCGGGAGAUAGCUGGUUCUCCCCGAAAGCUAUUUAGGUAGCGCCUCGUGAAUUCAUCUCCGGGGGUAGAGCACUGUUUCGGCUAGGGGGCCAUCCCGGCUUACCAACCCGAUGCAAACUGCGAAUACCGGAGAAUGUUAUCACGGGAGACACACGGCGGGUGCUAACGUCCGUCGUGAAGAGGGAAACAACCCAGACCGCCAGCUAAGGUCCCAAAGUCAUGGUUAAGUGGGAAACGAUGUGGGAAGGCCCAGACAGCCAGGAUGUUGGCUUAGAAGCAGCCAUCAUUUAAAGAAAGCGUAAUAGCUCACUGGUCGAGUCGGCCUGCGCGGAAGAUGUAACGGGGCUAAACCAUGCACCGAAGCUGCGGCAGCGACACUGUGUGUUGUUGGGUA